Poecilia reticulata (guppy) is the source of this 163-nucleotide non-coding RNA. The record is from RefSeq and is a predicted model, not a curated record. Lineage: Eukaryota; Metazoa; Chordata; Actinopteri; Cyprinodontiformes; Poeciliidae.
GCAUAAAGAAAACAACAGAAGGAGUCCGACUCCUUAUGGAAAGUGAAACUGGAACUGAAUUUAUCUUAACACUUUUGGACGAAGCAAACUUUGUGGCAAACAAGAAGCAGCUUAAACUAUUUCAGCAGUAUCUUCAGGAAGCUGUGGAUGAAGCGUACAGACA